This 461-nucleotide long non-coding RNA is filed under the name Ananas comosus (pineapple). RNAcentral describes it as "long non-coding RNA (ACOM_LNC028063)". Lineage: Eukaryota; Viridiplantae; Streptophyta; Magnoliopsida; Poales; Bromeliaceae. The record is from RNAcentral.
UACUAUCAAUAGUAUUAUACCCUACCACCACUUUAUACACAUAUAUACCAAAAUAAAUAAUUCUAAUAUAAUAUUGAAACAAAAUAUUAAAAUAUAAUAAAUCAACUAUACUACUAAUCCAAUAUAAUAUCUCAAAUAUAAUAUAAUUUCUAUUCUAAUAACUAAAAUACUUUCAUCUACUCAUAAAUGCUACAUCAAUUGAAGGCAGCUUCUAUUUCCUGUGUACUUUAGACAGAAAAAUGCUAUAUAUGUUGGAUCGAGUUGAAGCAAUAUUCCGAGUCGACAUCACGAUUAAAUAUCGAAGAAAAUAGGUUACUGGAGGCAUGUUCCAGAACCUAACUUGUAGGUUCUAGAACUCUAUCAUGUUUUGAAAACUAUGGUAAUUCCUGAAAAAUCAGAAGAUAUUGAAAUUAGGCUGGAGGCUGAUGUUCCAAAAUAUGAGAUUCUGAGACGUUUUAUUU